This 1060-nucleotide ribosomal RNA is filed under the name uncultured Bacteroidales bacterium. Its description in RNAcentral is "bacterial SSU rRNA". It matches the Rfam family "Bacterial small subunit ribosomal RNA", at positions 32 to 1087 of the family's 1533-position model. Lineage: Bacteria; Pseudomonadati; Bacteroidota; Bacteroidia; Bacteroidales. The record is from RNAcentral.
AACGCUAGCUACAGGCUUAACACAUGCAAGUCGAGGGGCAGCGCAGUGUAGCAAUACAUGGGCGGCGACCGGCGCACGGGUGCGUAACACGUAUCCAACCUUCCCGUUACUCAGGGAUAGCCUUCCGAAAGGGAGAUUAAUACCUGAUGGUGUUGAAAUUCCGCAUGUUAUUUCAACUAAAGAUUUAUCGGUAACGGAUGGGGAUGCGUGACAUUAGAUAGUAGGCGGGGUAACGGCCCACCUAGUCUACGAUGUCUAGGGGUUCUGAGAGGAAGGUCCCCCACACUGGAACUGAGACACGGUCCAGACUCCUACGGGAGGCAGCAGUGAGGAAUAUUGGUCAAUGGUCGAGAGACUGAACCAGCCAAGUAGCGUGAAGGAUGACUGCCCUAUGGGUUGUAAACUUCUUUUGUUUGGGAAUAAAGUCAGGUACGUGUACCUGUUUGUAUGUACCAUUCGAAUAAGCAUCGGCUAAUUCCGUGCCAGCAGCCGCGGUAAUACGGAAGAUGCGAGCGUUAUCCGGAUUUAUUGGGUUUAAAGGGAGCGUAGACGGGAGAUUAAGUCAGCUGUGAAAGUUUGAGGCCCAACCUUAAAAUUGCAGUUGAUACUGGUUUCCUUGAGUGCGGUUGAGGUGUAUGGAAUUCGUGGUGUAGCGGUGAAAUGCUUAGAUAUCACGAAGAACUCCGAUUGCGAAGGCAGUACACUAAGCCGUAACUGACGUUGAGGCUCGAAAGUGUGGGUAUCAAACAGGAUUAGAUACCCUGGUAGUCCACACGGUAAACGAUGAAUACUCGCUGUUGGCGAUACACGGUCGGUGGCCUAGCGAAAGCGUUAAGUAUCCCACCUGGGGAGUACGCCGGCAACGGUGAAACUCAAAGGAAUUGACGGGGGCCCGCACAAGCGGAGGAACAUGUGGUUUAAUUCGAUGAUACGCGAGGAACCUUACCCAGGCUCGAACGGCAAGCUGAAUGUUACCAGAGAUGGUUUCAGUCUUCGGACAGUUUGUCGAGGUGCUGCAUGGUUGUCGUCAGCUCGUGCCGUGAGGUGUCGGCUUAAGUGC